The sequence is a transfer RNA, 92 nucleotides long. It matches the Rfam family "tRNA". From Rfam's summary of the family: Transfer RNA (tRNA) molecules are approximately 80 nucleotides in length. Their secondary structure includes four short double-helical elements and three loops (D, anti-codon, and T loops). Further hydrogen bonds mediate the characteristic L-shaped molecular structure. tRNAs have two regions of fundamental functional importance: the anti-codon, which is responsible for specific mRNA codon recognition, and the 3' end, to which the tRNAs corresponding amino acid is attached (by aminoacyl-tRNA synthetases). tRNAs cope with the degeneracy of the genetic code in two manners: having more than one tRNA (with a specific anti-codon) for a particular amino acid; and 'wobble' base-pairing, i.e. permitting non-standard base-pairing at the 3rd anti-codon position.
UUCCUCGUGGCCCAAUGGUCACGGCGUCUGGCUACGAUUUAAUAGCUACUUCUGAAACCAGAAGAUUCCAGGUUCGACUCCUGGCGGGGAAG